AGAGUUGUAUCCUGGCUCAGAAGGAACGCUGGCAGCGUGCAUAACACAUGCAAGUCGAACGGUAGUAUUAUCUUCGGAUGAUAUGAGAGUGGCGAACGGGUGAGUAACACGUAAGAAUCUACCUUUAGGACGGGGAUAACUUCUGGAAACGGAUGCUAAUACCCGAUAUGCUGUGGAGUGAAAGGAAUUUCGCCUAAAGAUGAUCUUGCGUCUGAUUAGCUAGAUAGGGUGGUAAUGGCGCCCUAUGGCGACGAUCAGUAGCUGGUCUGAGAGGAUGGACAGCCACAUUGGGACUGAGACACGGCCCAAACUCCUACGGGAGGCAGCAGUGGGGAAUUUUCCGCAAUGGGCGAAAGCCUGACGGAGCGACGCUGCGUGAAGGAUGACGGCCUGAGGGUUGUAAACUUCUUUUCUCGAAGAAGAAUCAAUGACGGUAUUCGAGGAAUAAGCAUCGGCUAACUCUGUGCCAGCAGCCGCGGUAAGACAGAGGAUGCAAGUGUUAUUCGGAUUGAUUGGGCGUAAAGCGUCUGUAGGCGGUUUAGAAAGUCUUUUGUGAAAUACUUCAGCUCAACUGGGGCCCCGCAAAAGAAACUCCUAGACUUGAGGGGAGUAGAGGU
RNAcentral lists this ribosomal RNA (617 nucleotides) under uncultured bacterium. RNAcentral's name for it is "bacterial SSU rRNA". It matches the Rfam family "Bacterial small subunit ribosomal RNA", at positions 8 to 658 of the family's 1533-position model. The record is from RNAcentral.